AAGACGGCCCUACGGGUUGUAAACUGCUUUUGCAGGGGAAUAAACCCCCGUAUGUAUACGGGGUUGAAUGUACCUCCUGAGAAUAAGGAUCGGCUAACUCCGGUGC
This 106-nucleotide ribosomal RNA is filed under the name uncultured bacterium. RNAcentral describes it as "partial 16S ribosomal RNA". The record is from RNAcentral.